ACAGACAAUUCAUCAAUUAAACUUUGUGUCAAGUUUACUUUUAAUUCAAUAAAUGUGUAUUCCUUAAUUAUUAAUAAUAAUUAAGGAAUACACUAUAUGACAUUGAAGACAAAGAAAAAAAGUUUUACAUCAGAGGAAAUGACUGUGCACUUCUUUCUUGAAGGAUCAACACACAAAAGGAAAAGUGCAUAUCUUUAUGCAUCACUUGCAGUAGUUGAGAUAAUUUUGGAUACACACAAAAAACUGUGAACUGAGUCAGAAUUAUAAUUUAAACAUCAUAUGUGGUACCUGCAUGUACUUACUGGUACACGUAUAUAUAUUGUUACUUUGUAAUUCACAACAUUUUACAUGAAUAUAGGAAUAUUCUUUGCAUGUUACAUGUGAAAUAAAAAAAGACAAGUAUAGAAAUAAAGAAUUAUCUAUUACAACAUUAUCAUCUAAAACCAGUAGGAUGAUAUAUGUCUACAUUUAUUAUGGAUCAUGGAAACCUACAAUUCAAGAAUUUACCAUAGCAAAAUAACACAAUGACGUGAUGAAUAAGUACAGAGCAGAGUCAUAUGUUGCGAAGAAAGAAAAAAAAGGGCAUAUGCACAAAGGAUAUUAGCAAAAAUUAAAUAACAAGAAUAUAAAAAAUGUUCACAGCAGAAUAACAUAAUGAUUGAGUGUACAGGAACAGAGUCCCGUCAAAUGGAUAUCAACAUAAAACAGACUAAACAGUAUAUUGGAUAUAUGCAUGCAGAC
This 741-nucleotide long non-coding RNA is filed under the name Mytilus galloprovincialis (Mediterranean mussel). The record is from RNAcentral. Lineage: Eukaryota; Metazoa; Mollusca; Bivalvia; Mytilida; Mytilidae.